Molecule: long non-coding RNA, 745 nt
Organism: Solanum stenotomum
Lineage: Eukaryota; Viridiplantae; Streptophyta; Magnoliopsida; Solanales; Solanaceae
Exons: 3
Source: RefSeq, a predicted model, not a curated record
UGUGAGACAAAGCAUAAGGUCUGCUAACCAUUUUUUAUCCUUCUAAGUUCUAAUCCAUCAACCCCUUUUCUUCCUGUUUUCAGAUUUUGUUUAUCACUGACCCUUUUUUUAAAAAGUUUCAAUAUUUUUUCAGUCCUCAUAGUUAUAUCUCAUCCAUCCACUAAACUACUAAUACCUUUUUAAUGUGAUUUCACUUCAAGGAGUAUCUUCUUUCUUGGAGUUUGGCUAGAUCUUUGUCUAUUUGAGUCUUGCUGAAUAGUUUAGUGAACCCCAUCUGAAAGAAACAAUCAAGGUUGCUUGCAGAAAUAUGAAGAGGAUCAGGACCAAAAGUGAAACAUGAGACUACAUGGAAAAGAUUACAAGGAGAUCAUCGCUGCAAUGAAAGCUAUAAGCAAUGAGUUAUUAGUGCUAGUUUCUUGAAGGACCUUCCCUCAUUCACCAUUAAUAGCUAGAGACUCUUAUAUCUUCAUUACUGUUACUUUUCCGUUGAAGAGCUUACUAGUAUGUGGAAUCCAACAAAAUAAGUUACAUCAAUUGUACAUAUGCAAUUGCAUUUUUGCUCGAUAUAUAGGUGUAUCCUCCUUUGUUGGAUUUACAAAUGAUCGAAAGAGUACAAUUUUUCAGGUAUAUGCUUAUCAUCUUUUUGCUUUUAGUUACCAUCAUGUGUAUGUUAUACAUUUGCAGCUUGGCCUGAAAUGUUUCUGUAGAUAAUCUUCAAAAUAUAUAAUAAAUUAACGCAGGCGAA